AACGAACGCUGGCGGCAUGCCUAACACAUGCAAGUCGAACGAGACCUUCGGGUCUAGUGGCGCACGGGUGCGUAACGCGUGGGAACCUGCCCUUAGGUUCGGAAUAACUCCCCGAAAGGGGUGCUAAUACCGGCUAAUGUCUUCGGACCAAAGAUUUAUCGCCUUUGGAUGGGCCCGCGUUGGAUUAGCUAGUUGGUAGGGUAAAAGCCUACCAAGGCGACGAUCCAUAGCUGGUCUGAGAGGAUGAUCAGCCACACUGGGACUGAGACACGGCCCAGACUCCUACGGGAGGCAGCAGUGGGGAAUAUUGGACAGUGGGCGAAAGCCUGAACCAGCAAUGCCGGGUGAGUGAUGAAGGCCUUAGGGUUGUAAAGCUCUUUUACCCGGGAUGAUAAUGACAGUACCGGGAGAAUAAGCUCCGGCUAACUCCGUG
RNAcentral lists this ribosomal RNA (433 nucleotides) under uncultured bacterium. Its description in RNAcentral is "partial 16S ribosomal RNA". It matches the Rfam family "Bacterial small subunit ribosomal RNA", at positions 29 to 507 of the family's 1533-position model. The record is from RNAcentral.